Molecule: non-coding RNA, 30 nt
Filed under: Rattus norvegicus (Norway rat)
Lineage: Eukaryota; Metazoa; Chordata; Mammalia; Rodentia; Muridae
Source: RNAcentral
UCCCCUGAGUUGAAUGCAGUUGCUCAACCC